Long non-coding RNA from Xenopus tropicalis (tropical clawed frog), 1543 nucleotides. RefSeq lists it as uncharacterized. The record is from RefSeq and is a predicted model, not a curated record. NCBI's taxonomy places the organism in Eukaryota, Metazoa, Chordata, Amphibia, Anura, Pipidae. The transcript is spliced from 2 exons.
ACUCUGAUGAACUUCAGUCUCUCUUUAUUGCAACACUGCAAGUUCAAUAAAUAUAAAGUACCACAGUCUGGAAUAUAUGAGCAACGACAGACAACAUUCAUCACUCCAGCUGUUUCUGGCCUGCAUCCUUCAUUCCUCAAUAUUCUGUUAAACUACAACUACUAUCAUCCCAGGCUCUGAGUGUCAUCAGGACGUGUUAAGCUGAAGGCCGGUAUGGUGCCCAUCCCUGAAAUAAAGACUACAUUUCAGCAAAUGUUAAAGUGACGCCCAGCAAAGAGCAUAAAAAGGAAUGGAGAGGCGUUUUGUUAGUAAGGAUGAUGGACAUUGUGGCAUAUUAAUUAUCCUCUGCAUUCCGUCGCACACUAAACCAAUUAGAGUACAGAAUAUCCAUUUCAGUCUUCCACUGUACUCACUCCCCCACAGUCACUUCAAUUUGCAAUGCUGAGUAUUUCAAUGCACCAGAAACACGCCACCAUUCACAAUGUGUAAGAGAAAUAGAAUUGAGAUUUGGAAUAUUUGUUCUCUUUGUUUGAUUAGAAAGCACCUACAUCAUGCAAAGUUGGAGGUCUUUAUUUCCCUGUGAACAAGCUGCCUCUAAAAGCAGGUUAUUACACAUAACAUGAAUAAAAAAAAAAAAGUCUUUUAUGCUUCGCAAUGUCAAAGGGCUUUAACAUCACACUGUUUGCAAGAAUUGUUCCAAAGUGCAUGUAAUGUUUGUGAUUUCGGGUCAUUUGAAAUAAUGGCAGUGUAGACUUCCACUCUUCCAAUUAGCUUUGAAGUGUAUGAACUUUAAACAGGCUUGGAUUAUUGAAAAGGGAACUAAAAACAUAUUAUAAGAUACACGUUGGUGCUAUUGUAUGGCUUUAAAUGCCCCAAACAUGUAAGGAACUCAUUUUUUGCAGCAUGAAGAAUGCAUUUUAUUUUGCAUCUUUUUUCAUUCUCAGGAGGCAUUGCAGAUAUACAUGGGCAUGAAAAGAUAUCAGCUGCUGUAAUGCAAAUGCUAGCACUUUAUCACAACAAAGUUUGCUUCAUCUAUAACUCCAUAUCAGGAGCAAAUGCUGAGGCUCAGCUUCUGUAUCCAACCUGGCAGAAUCAACAUCUAUCAUCUACUUAUUCAGAUAUUUAUUUCAAAAUGAUCUGCUAGACUUUGUAUGCAAAGCAGCUAAACAGUUAUUAAUAUUACUUUCUUCCUUCCUAAUGGAUCUGCAUAUCACGUUAAAGUACUAUAAUUUGUGAUGGGGCAUCCUUCUUAUAAAAAGCUGAAAGGAAAUAUAUUUAUUGACAGGUAUGGCAUGCUUACAGAUUAUUUUUCUGAUAUGUUCUAUAAAAUAUAUAAAGCACAUGGCUAUAAAUAUAUGUCACUUGGCAUUUUGUUUAUUCUUUACGCUCGAAUGAAGCAGCUCCCCCUGUGGCACAAUUAACUUGAAAAUGGUAGAAUUCUUCCCACAGUUUUACAUGCAAUAGUCACUGCUUUACUUGGCAAGAAAAGCCUAGUAUAAUGUUUAUGGUAUUUAAACAUCAAAUUCAUCAUCUUAAAGGAACA